UACGUAGGGUGCGAGCGUUAAUCGGAAUUACUGGGCGUAAAGCGUGCGCAGGCGGUUUUGUAAGCCAGAUGUGAAAUCCCCGGGCUUAACCUGGGAAUGGCAUUUGGGACUGCAAGGCUUGAGUGCGGCAGAGGAGACUGGAAUUCCUGGUGUAGCAGUGAAAUGCGUAGAUAUGCGGAGGAACACCGAUGGCGAAGGCAAUCCCCUGGGCCUGUACUGACGCUCAUGCACGAAAGCGUGGGGAGCAAACAGG
Molecule: ribosomal RNA, 253 nt
Filed under: uncultured bacterium
Lineage: Bacteria
Description: partial 16S ribosomal RNA
Rfam family: Bacterial small subunit ribosomal RNA
Source: RNAcentral